RNAcentral lists this ribosomal RNA (530 nucleotides) under uncultured bacterium. RNAcentral describes it as "bacterial LSU rRNA". It matches the Rfam family "Bacterial large subunit ribosomal RNA", at positions 648 to 1177 of the family's 2925-position model. The record is from RNAcentral.
AACCCGUGUGGGGAAGCCGUAGCGAAAGCGAGUCCGAAUAGGGCGCCAUAGUCGCUGGGUCUAGACCCGAAGCGGAGUGAUCUACCCAUGGCCAGGCUGAAGCGACGGUAAGACGUCGUGGAGGGCCGAACCCACUUAGGUUGAAACUGAGGGGAUGAGCUGUGGGUAGGGGUGAAAGGCCAAUCAAACUCCGUGAUAGCUGGUUCUCCCCGAAAUGCAUUUAGGUGCAGCGUCACGUGUUUCUUACCGGAGGUAGAGCUACUGGAUAGCCGAUGGGCCCCACCAGGUUACUGACGUUAGCCAAACUCCGAAUGCCGGUAAGUGAGAGCGUGGCAGUGAGACUGCGGGGGAUAAGCUCCGUAGUCGAGAGGGAAACAGCCCAGACCACCAGCUAAGGUCCCUAAGCGUGUGCUAAGUGGGAAAGGAUGUGGAGUUGCAUUGACAACCAGGAGGUUGGCUUAGAAGCAGCCACCCUUUAAAGAGUGCGUAAUAGCUCACUGGUCAAGUGAUUCCGCGCCGACAAUGUAGCG